This 465-nucleotide ribosomal RNA is filed under the name Vreelandella stevensii. Its description in RNAcentral is "partial 16S ribosomal RNA". It matches the Rfam family "Bacterial small subunit ribosomal RNA", at positions 338 to 795 of the family's 1533-position model. Lineage: Bacteria; Pseudomonadati; Pseudomonadota; Gammaproteobacteria; Oceanospirillales; Halomonadaceae. The record is from RNAcentral.
CCUACGGGGGGCUGCAGUGGGGAAUAUUGGACAAUGGGGGCAACCCUGAUCCAGCCAUGCCGCGUGUGUGAAGAAGGCCCUCGGGUUGUAAAGCACUUUCAGUGAGGAAGAACGCCUGGUGGUUAAUACCCAUCAGGAAAGACAUCACUCACAGAAGAAGCACCGGCUAACUCCGUGCCAGCAGCCGCGGUAAUACGGAGGGUGCGAGCGUUAAUCGGAAUUACUGGGCGUAAAGCGCGCGUAGGUGGCUUGAUAAGCCGGUUGUGAAAGCCCCGGGCUCAACCUGGGAACGGCAUCCGGAACUGUCGAGCUAGAGUGCGGGAGAGGAAGGUAGAAUUCCCGGUGUAGCGGUGAAAUGCGUAGAGAUCGGGAGGAAUACCAGUGGCGAAGGCGGCCUUCUGGACUGACACUGACACUGAGGUGCGAAAGCGUGGGUAGCAAACAGGAUUAGAUACCCCAGUAGUC